Molecule: long non-coding RNA, 1278 nt
Organism: Dermacentor albipictus
Lineage: Eukaryota; Metazoa; Arthropoda; Arachnida; Ixodida; Ixodidae
Source: RefSeq, a predicted model, not a curated record
UUCAUUUAUUUUUUUCAGAUGUAGCAUGUCAAAGACAGCGGCUGAAAAAAAUGCAGUACCAACUGAAAACCUGCCAAGGACGUCAUGUUAUGAUGAGAACAAGGAUGCUCAUAUGAAAGAGCUUUCACUGGCAAGACUUCGCCGACGUGUGUAUCGGUCAGCCAGAAAUGAAUCAAGCAAAGAAACUGUUGCCUCCCCAUUAGAAGCAAAGGUGUUGCCCCAUGCACCUGUCAGCACGACCACCAUGGACGAUCUCCCCAUCCCCUGACCGCAACAGCAUGGACCAAAUAAGUGACAAAGGAAAUAUGGAAUGUGCUUGCCAACCUGGCCUCCAGACAUUAAUGGCAGAGUACUCAAGAGAAGAAAAAGACGUGGCAAAUUUCCUACUAGAAAUGGCUUCACGGACAAGGCUUACAGAAAGCAAGGCUGCCCAAGUGACAUCGGGUACUUUUCCACAGAAGUUUGUGAACACGAUAAAUAGUAGCAACGUAAAUACAUUCACAGGCCUGCCAUCAUUCGAUGUUCUGAAUGCUCGUGUGACGUGCUACACAAAAAUUCAUCCACUUUCAGGACGGCACCAGUUAUGUGUAAAAACAAUUGCAUUGACAUUGGUGAAAUUGAAGCAUAUUUCCACUGCAUUCUUGAGUCACCUUUUUAACUGUUCUCUAACUACAUGUAGCAACAUAAUUGCAGAGACUGCUCAGUUGAUGUGUGAAAUUUUAAAAGUAACUGUGGCUGUGCCACCAAAAGAUGAAUUCCAGUGGCACGUUUGCAUAUUUGGCAUUAGGUGAUUCACCUGAAGUCGUGCCAUGGCUGGCGAUAUUGCAAGUAGCCUCUAUUGCAUAGAGGCAUUUGUGCGUGUGACCUUGGCUCCAUCAAAGCGUGGCGGCCUUGAGAGUAAGUGCGGUCUUCUGUUUGGAAACCCAGCAUUUUUUAUGCCACUAACCACUUCAUACUUUUCAGACACGGUCGUUGCCAUGUGAUCUACAUGCUGCACUUGUUUGCAUUGGCCAAACCUGCAGACUUCAACUUCAACACACUUUUUGUAAAUUAGCAAUGCACAUUCUUUUGCAACUUGUAUUCUUCAUUGAAGUGCUGAUUUACACUACGCAUUCUGAUGCAAGUUUUCAUCUUAUGGUAUUCCGAGAUAUUUGCAGUUCACUUAUGAUCUGUGUGCAUAGAGUUGUGGUUAUUCUUCAAUGGCUGUUUGUUGUCCCUUUCCUUACUUGUAUUUUUUCACAAAAUAAACCACAUCCACUCAAUAUUUUGUUCACUGUA